AAAGGAAACACAAGUCACUUUUGAUAACACAUGAUGCAAAGAAAGAAUUAGAAAGAAUGAACAAUGAAGCAGGUAUAAAUGACAAACAAGUGUCCAAAGGCCCAAGAAGUUACUACUAAAAGCUUUCAAACAAUAUUGGUUUGUGUUUAAAGACACAUCCAUAGCCUACUUUAAAAAUAAGGAACUUGAACAAGGAGAACCACUAGAAAAACUAAAUCUUAGAGGCUGCGAAGUUGUGCCCAAUGUAAAUGUAGCAGAGAGAAAAUUUGGAAUCAAGUUACUAAUCCCUGUUGCCGAUGGUAUGAAUGAAAUGUAUUUGAGAUGUGACCAUGAGAAUCAAUACGCCCAAUGGAUGGCUGCCUGCAUGUUGGCAUCGAAGGGCAAAACCAUGGCAGACAGCUCCUACCAGCCAGAGGUCCUCAACAUCCUUUCAUUUCUGAGGAUGAAAAACAGGAACUCUGCAUCUCAGGUGGCUUCCAGUCCCGAAAACAUGGAUAUGAACCCAGAAUGUUUUGUGUCACCACGGUGUGCAAAAAAACACAAAUCCAAACAGCUGGCCGCCCGGAUCCUGGAGGCGCACCAGAACGUGGCCCAGAUGCCCCUGGUCGAAGCCAAGCUGCGGUUCAUCCAGGCAUGGCAGUCACUGCCUGAGUUCGGCCUCACCUACUACCUUGUCAGAUUUAAAGGAAGCAAGAAAGAUGACAUUCUGGGAGUUUCAUAUAACAGGUUGAUUAAAAUUGAUGCAGCCACUGGGAUUCCAGUGACAACAUGGAGAUUCACAAAUAUCAAACAGUGGAAUGUAAACUGGGAAACCCGGCAGGUGGUCAUCGAGUUUGACCAAAACGUCUUUACUGCUUUCACCUGCCUGAGUGCAGAUUGCAAGAUUGUGCACGAGUACAUUGGCGGCUACAUUUUCUUGUCCACCCGUUCCAAGGACCAGAAUGAAACACUCGACGAGGACUUGUUCCACAAAUUGACCGGCGGUCAGGAUUGAAACAAGCACAUGUGCUCAGCUCACACCAACAGGGCAAGCCAAAGGCGCCCCUCCCCAGAGGGAUCCAUAACUUGCCCAGCAUGUAGAUUCUGGACUAACAGACAACAUACAUUCACCGUUGGUCACCCAGACCCUCACUUCAUUCAAACCCACUGCUGGCAUAUCCCUUUCCUUACUUUGCCCUGUGCUACCAGCCAUGGAAGGAGCCUCUCGUUUUUUCUAUAAAAUGGGUGAGCAGGAGAAAAGGAGGUACCCUAACAUUGCUCUAAGGCCCAACAUGUGGUUACAGUUCUGUGACUUGCAGAACCUGCCAGGUGUAUGGCUGCAAGUUAUCCUUGUGCUGAUCUCUCAUUACUAAGUCAAUGGAGAAGACAGAAAGGUAAAAAUCACAUGUAGCAAGAACAACUCUUAUUUCACAAACUCAGGUAUGAAACGAAACGCCUAUCCUUCAUGGAACUGCUUUUAGCUCCUGUCUUUUCAAAAUGACAGAGGGAGUUCCUACACACACUUUUUCCCUGGAGGCCAAGGUCUAGGGGUAGAAAGGGGAGGGGUGGGGCUACCAGGUAGCAGUUGAUGACCCAAGGUCAGAGGAGUGGCCCUCAGUGUCAUCUGUCCACAGUGAUACCUGCCAAGAUGACCACUGACCCACAUCUGGUCUUAGUCAUUGGUCUCCUCAGAUUUCUGGGGCCACCUGCAAGCCCCAUUCCAUUCCUACAGAUCUCUCAGCCACCUGUAAGUCCUUUGUGAAGACGUGGGUGACACAGGGGGACAGGAAAACCCAUUUCUCAACCCAGAUCCAUGUCUCCACUGCUUCUACUCUGGGUUGGGAUUCCGGAAGACAGGCACAGUCCUCUCUGUCCGUAGAAACACCUGCCGGCAUCAAGGAUUCCAGUCAGGUCUCUAUCCCAACUGGUCAGGGAGAGAAGGGCAGACCUUUUCUCAAAGACCACCAUGUCCAAGGUCUGACGGCUCCCCACUGGCUGCCCCCACAGGGGCUUUAGGCUGGUCUGGGUCGUGGGGAAGCGUCCCUCUUACUGCUGGUCUAUGUUCUCCUGGAUUUGGUAUCUAUGUUGGUAUGACUCCUGGCCUUUUCUCUAAAGGCCUUUGGCUUUUGUAAAUCACAAGCCAAUAAUAGACUUUUUUCUCCCCUUCUGUUUUUUGCUGUGUCAUCUCUGCCUUAAGACUGCCUUGAGACAGUGCUCGCCUUGAGAGAGUGAGCCAAUUAACAGCUGCCUGAAUUGUCAUUUUCCAUUUUGGUUUGUUAGAGGUGGGAGGGGUGGGUUUUGAGAAGGUCAAAAGCAAUACCAGAAAUAAAAGGAAAUAUCAGACAAUAUUUUAUUAUUUUUUCAUAGAUGUUCUGCCACACAAAGAACUUGGGCUGCAAGCAUAAGCAAAAGCUCCAAUCCCAUUUUUCAGUUCUCCUAGGAUGCACCCCUCAGGGAGCCUGGCCAGAGUUCCAAGGCCCGUGAGCAUCAGCUGUUGCUUUAUUUUCCAUCAAAGCCCUCUGAGAAGUGAGACCUCAGCAAUUCCGGGAGCCACAUGGAGACAGACUUGGCAAGGGACCCCCCUGGUUCUGAGCCAGUAGCUGCCAUCUGGAAAUUCCUCUUUUAGCCUCUCCUUAGAGGUGAAUGUGAAUGAAGCCUCCCAGGCACCCGCUGAAUUUCUGAGGCCUUGCUUAAAGCUCGGAAGUGGUUUAGGCAUUUGGAAAAUCUGGUUCACAUCAUAAAGAACUUGAUUUGAAAUGUUUUCUAUAGAAACAAGUGCUAAGUGUACUGUAUUACACUUGAUGUUGGUCAUUUCUCAGUCCUAUUUCUCAAUUCUAUUAUUUUAGAACCUAGUCAGUUCUUUAAGAUUAUAACUGGUCCUACAUUAAAAUAAUGCUUCUUGAUGUCAUAUUUUACCUGUUUGCUGCUGAGAACAUCUCUGCCUAAUUUACCAAAGCCAGACCUUCAGUUCAACAUGCUUCCUUAGCUUUUCAUAGUUGUCUGACAUUUCCAUGAAAACAAAGGAACUAACUGGUUUUAACCAAACUUUGUUUGGUCACAGUUUUCAGGGGAGCAUUUCUUCCGUGACACACAGCAACAUCCCAAAGAAAUAAACAAGUGUGACCAAAAAAAAAAAAAAACCCUAAAUGCUACUGUUCCAAAGAGCAACUUGAUGUUUUUUUUUUAAUAUUGAGUGCAAAAGGUCACCCAACUUCCUAUGAUGAAAUUUUAAAUUAAUGGGCAUCUUUCAACAUCAUUUGCUUCCUUAUCUACAGUUGAUUCAGAAAUCUGCAUUUUUUAUUCUUUUAUAUGGCUUUUAAGUAAAAGAUUUAUAUGAAUUUGA
This 3322-nucleotide small RNA is filed under the name Pongo abelii (Sumatran orangutan). RNAcentral describes it as "processed transcript". Lineage: Eukaryota; Metazoa; Chordata; Mammalia; Primates; Hominidae. The record is from RNAcentral.